CCUACGGGGCGCAGCAGUGGGGAAUAUUGCACAAUGGGCGCAAGCCUGAUGCAGCCAUGCCGCGUGUGUGAAGAAGGCCUUCGGGUUGUAAAGCACUUUCAGCGGGGAGGAAGGCGGUGAGGCUAAUAACCUCAUCGAUUGACGUUACCCGCAGAAGAAGCACCGGCUAACUCCGUGCCAGCAGCCGCGGUAAUACGGAGGGUGCAAGCGUUAAUCGGAAUUACUGGGCGUAAAGCGCACGCAGGCGGUUUGUUAAGUCAGAUGUGAAAGCCCCGGGCUCAACCUGGGAACUGGAUUCGAAACUGGCAGGCUGGAGUCUUGUAGAGGGGGGUAGAAUUCCAGGUGUAGCGGUGAAAUGCGUAGAGAUCUGGAGGAAUACCGGUGGCGAAGGCGGCCCCCUGGACAAAGACUGACGCUCAGGUGCGAAAGCGUGGGGAGCAAACAGGAUUAGAUACCCGGGUAGUC
This 465-nucleotide ribosomal RNA is filed under the name uncultured bacterium. Its description in RNAcentral is "bacterial SSU rRNA". It matches the Rfam family "Bacterial small subunit ribosomal RNA", at positions 338 to 795 of the family's 1533-position model. The record is from RNAcentral.